GAUGAACGCUAGCUACAGGCUUAACACAUGCAAGUCGAGGGGCAUCAGGAAGAAAGCUUGCUUUCUUUGCUGGCGACCGGCGCACGGGUGAGUAACACGUAUCCAACCUGCCCUUUACUCGGGGAUAGCCUUUCGAAAGAAAGAUUAAUACCCGAUAGCAUAAUGAUUCCGCAUGGUUUCAUUAUUAAAGGAUUCCGGUAAAGGAUGGGGAUGCGUUCCAUUAGGUUGUUGGUGAGGUAACGGCUCACCAAGGCGACGAUGCGUAGCCGACCUGAGAGGGUGACCGGCCACACUGGGACUGAGACACGGCCCAG
Molecule: ribosomal RNA, 314 nt
Filed under: uncultured bacterium
Lineage: Bacteria
Description: bacterial SSU rRNA
Rfam family: Bacterial small subunit ribosomal RNA
Source: RNAcentral